This 578-nucleotide ribosomal RNA is filed under the name uncultured bacterium. RNAcentral describes it as "partial 16S ribosomal RNA". It matches the Rfam family "Bacterial small subunit ribosomal RNA", at positions 355 to 923 of the family's 1533-position model. The record is from RNAcentral.
UGGGGAAUUUUGGACAAUGGGCGAAAGCCUGAUCCAGCAAUGCCGCGUGUGUGAAGAAGGCCUUCGGGUUGUAAAGCACUUUUGUCCGGAAAGAAAUCCUUGGCUCUAAUACAGUCGGGGGAUGACGGUACCGGAAGAAUAAGCACCGGCUAACUACGUGCCAGCAGCCGCGGUAAUACGUAGGGUGCAAGCGUUAAUCGGAAUUACUGGGCGUAAAGCGUGCGCAGGCGGUUUGCUAAGACCGAUGUGAAAUCCCCGGGCUCAACCUGGGAACUGCAUUGGUGACUGGCAGGCUAGAGUAUGGCAGAGGGGGGUAGAAUUCCACGUGUAGCAGUGAAAUGCGUAGAGAUGUGGAGGAAUACCGAUGGCGAAGGCAGCCCCCUGGGCCAAAUACUGACGCUCAUGCACGAAAGCGUGGGGGAGCAAACAGGAUUAGAUACCCUGGUAGUCCACGCCCUAAAACGAUGUCAACUAGUUGUUGGGGAUUCAUUUCCUUAGUAACGUAGCUAACGCGUGAAGUUGACCGCCUGGGGAGUACGGUCGCAAGAUUAAAACUUAAAUGAAUUGACGGGGUCAUA